This 82-nucleotide transfer RNA is filed under the name Echinostoma caproni. It matches the Rfam family "tRNA". From Rfam's summary of the family: Transfer RNA (tRNA) molecules are approximately 80 nucleotides in length. Their secondary structure includes four short double-helical elements and three loops (D, anti-codon, and T loops). The record is from Rfam by way of RNAcentral. Lineage: Eukaryota; Metazoa; Platyhelminthes; Trematoda; Plagiorchiida; Echinostomatidae.
GGCCUCGUAGCUCAGCUGGUAGAGCAUGCGCGUACAAAGCGUAGGCGGCGUCCAUGUGUGGGUUCGAAUCCCACCGAGGCUA